GCGAACGUGCCCAGUCGUGGGGGAUAACUACUCGAAAGAGUAGCUAAUACCGCAUACGAUCUGAGGAUGAAAGCGGGGGACCUUCGGGCCUCGCGCGAUUGGAGCGGCCGAUGGCAGAUUAGGUAGUUGGUGGGAUAAAAGCUUACCAAGCCGACGAUCUGUAGCUGGUCUGAGAGGACGACCAGCCACACUGGGACUGAGACACGGCCCAGACUCCUACGGGAGGCAGCAGUGGGGAAUUUUGGACAAUGGGCGAAAGCCUGAUCCAGCAAUGCCGCGUGCAGGAUGAAGGCCUUCGGGUUGUAAACUGCUUUUGUACGGAACGAAAAAGCUCCUUCUAAUACAGGGGGCCCAUGACGGUACCGUAAGAAUAAGCACCGGCUAA
Molecule: ribosomal RNA, 385 nt
Filed under: Delftia tsuruhatensis
Lineage: Bacteria; Pseudomonadati; Pseudomonadota; Betaproteobacteria; Burkholderiales; Comamonadaceae
Description: bacterial SSU rRNA
Rfam family: Bacterial small subunit ribosomal RNA
Source: RNAcentral